Molecule: long non-coding RNA, 2734 nt
Filed under: Helianthus annuus (common sunflower)
Lineage: Eukaryota; Viridiplantae; Streptophyta; Magnoliopsida; Asterales; Asteraceae
Description: hypothetical non coding rna
Source: RNAcentral
GUGUGGGUUGUGGGUGUGUGCGAUGCAAGGCAGGAGCAGGAGAAGGAGAAGGAAAACCCUUCUUCUCCAAUUGAUCCAAAAUUUGAAGAAAUUAAGUCAGAUUGUGGAUGAAUUUCGAAUGCAUGUGACUGGAUUUUCAGUCAUCUAAGAGUUCUCAAUGUAAGGUAAGUUAAAUUAUGUGUUUUAAUGCUAGUGGAUGAAAUGGGUUUUAAUCAAUCCCUAAAAUUGAAUGAAUCGAAGUUAUAUAUGCAUUAGAAUCAUCAUAUUGGAGAUGAUUUAUGCUUGAAUUUGGUUAUAUUGAAGGAUUGAGGUGAAACCCACUUGUUCUAGUAGUAUGUUGAUGAAUGAUGAUCUUGCAAUUGUGUAAUUUUGUUGAAUGAAAGCAUAAACACUAAUGUAUUGAUAGCCAAUCAUGUUAUAGGAUGAAUGAAUCAUGUGAAAUUAGUUGAAUGAUUGAGUUUUGUGGUUUACUAAUGGGUCAUGCAUAGAACUCAUGUACAUGAUGCUUAAAAUGUUAUACGCCCACCAUGUGUUUGAUAAAAUGCCUCAAUGAUAAAACAUGUAGUUUUGAAUGGAUUGAGAAGUGUGGUGAUGCAUAAGGACAAUAUAAUAUUGAUGUAUUGUGAAAAAAGGUAUGAAAUAUGAAUGAUGCGUGAAUGUAAAUUGUUAUGUAAAUAAAUGGCGUAAUCUAAAAUGGGAAUGGAUUAUAUAUAGGAUUGAAGUUAGAAGGUACAAAUUUGUAUGCAAGAACUUGUGGGUAAUGAACUAGCUAAUUUAUGUGUCAUGUACGGUAGUAAUGAAGUAUGAUGAUACAUAUCUUAUAUAUGCGCUAAUAAACUAACGAAAGUCAAACAUUUCAUGAUUUGAAAGCCGAAUGAAUGAAUGAAUGAAUGUAAGCUUACCGUGUUAUGAAUGUGACGACAUGUACGGAUAGUCAUGUCAACAUGGACACAAGCAUGAAAGCGCCACAGGUCGAAGGUAAACACGGAAGCUAUGCGUGAACUCGGAUGCACGAGAGGUUAUGUUGAAAUGCGUUAUUGAGGAUGAUAUCAAAUAAGUAGUAUUAAGUAAGUGGUUUCCGAAUCACUUCUUAGAUUAUUUAAGAAAAGUUAUGUGCUAGUCACUUAAGCAUGAUAAUUAAAGCCUAUUAGGAUUUGGUUAUUUAGAAGUGAAGGUUUUCGCUAUGUAGACCAAUGGGUCAAAAUAAGAAUUUAUUUCAUUACGGAAUGGUUGCAUAAGUAUAGACGACGGUAUUAUAAUUCGGGUAACGGGUAGAAUUUCUCAUAAGUGCGCUAACCGAGAGACGGGGACAUGGGUUAAUGGGAAAAGGACUUGGUUUAAGACAUGGCCAAUGGGAACAAUUUCGUGUAAGGAAAUUGUGCUAAUAAAGUUCAAUUACGUAAAAUUUAUUGAAAUGAAUAAGUUUAACGUAUACCGGGAAUCGGGUUCAUAAACUCAUUGUACGGAACUCUGGAAAAUGUAAAAGUGUUAUAGUUAUAACGUUCAUGUGAGUUUUGGGUAUAAACAUAUGAGUUGUUUGAUAAAAAACAUGAACGGGUCGAAUAAUUCCUAAAUGAAUAUUAAGCCGAAAGCAUAUAAGUUAAGAACUUCCUUAGUUCAGAUGUUAGAUUUUGAGUCCAUAUGAUAGAGGACCAAAUUACGAUCAUGUGGGAAGAAAUGGAUCGUAAAAUGGACAAGAAAUGAGAAAGUUAGGACCAAAAUUGUAAAAAUUCAUUAAGCUGAAAGUUGCAGGUCUGAACCAGGCGCAAGGUUGCGCCCCCCUGACACAAGGUUACGCCCCUUACUGAUGUCUUCUGUAUUGCGCUAGAACUGGCACAAGGUUGCGCCAUAUUGGUUUCUUUUUGCGCCAAUCGCUGGUUCUUUCAUAUUCUUCGCAUUCUUCAACUCCAAACUUGUGUGAAGGCUAUCUAACUACGUUAUAUGCAUUAUAUAACUAUAUGUAAGUAUAUAAGCAUGUACGUAUAGACGUGUUUAUGUUUGCAUGUAUGUUUUCGGGUGUAUGUAAAUAGAUGUAUGAGUAUACAUAUAUGAAAGUAUGUACGUAUGUAUCAAAUGGGAUUUUAAUGUACACAAAGGAAUAAAGCUUGUAUGUAUGUAAGUAUGUAUGUAAGCAUGUAUGUACAUAUGUGUGUAAGUAUGUAUGUAUGUAUGCAUGUAUGUAUGUAGGUAUGAAUGUGUAUGAACAUACAUGUGUAGGUACUUAUCCAUGAAGUAGGAUUUGUUGUGCAUGAAAGAAAGGAUUUUGUAUAUAUGCUUAUAUAUAUGGCUCUAACAUGUUUGAAUAGUCAUGUUACUAAGGGUGUGCCUUGAGAAUGGAACAGGAAUGCAGAUACGUAAGUAUUGGGCUUACAAAGAUUGGAUGCUCGGUGUAAAGAAUGAACUCAAAAGAAUAUUAUAUCGGAAUUGUAUAAAAUGAUAGAUUUCUAAGUGGUUAUGUAUAUUUUUAUGUCUUUAUACUAAUGUAUAUGAUGUCACCAAUUAUUAACGAGUUGGUUGACCACAGGUUAGUCGGAUAUUCAUGACGGACCAGUGAUCGAGGGUCGAGUUAAGAUCAAGGAUUGUACGGGGAUGUGAUCACAUGUUGAAACCAUUUGUAAUAUAAUUUUCUUGAUUAGGUAUGAAUAAUGUAGAAGAUUUAAAUCAAGUCGAUUUGAAUGGCUUAUUAAUAAGUUGUAUGAUUGUCAAGAAAAGAAAUUUUAUGACUCAUAUUUCC